RNAcentral lists this long non-coding RNA (467 nucleotides) under Ananas comosus (pineapple). Its description in RNAcentral is "long non-coding RNA (ACOM_LNC031768)". The record is from RNAcentral. Lineage: Eukaryota; Viridiplantae; Streptophyta; Magnoliopsida; Poales; Bromeliaceae.
ACAAUUUAUCUUUUUUUUUAUUUUUUUUAUUUUUUUAUUUUAUACAUGUUUCUAUAAAUAUAGUGAAUUGAAAAUAUAUCCAUAUAAAAUUCAACUUUAGUUUAUUGCUUCUGUAAAAAUUCUAAUAUUUUUAAAUAUAUCCCUGCCGUUAUAAUUCGUUAGAAAAUUUUAGUUAAACCAUAGGUUAAAUACUUAACUCUGAAUAAUUUAUAAAAUAACUUAAUAUUUUUGUCCCUCUUAUAUUAUACUGUUGUGAUUUUUUGAGAAAAAUAUUUGUAAUGGCAAAAUUGAUAUUUCACUUAAAACAUAAACAGUUGUAUAACAAUAACAAAUCAAAAGGACAUAUUUGAAACUAUUAAAACUUUUAUACGAACAAUAUAUAAAAAUUGAACUUUGUAGGGAUAUAUUUGUAAUUUACUAUAUUUGCAGGGACUUGUGUGCAUUUAAUAUUAUUAUAAAAAUUAGGU